This 253-nucleotide ribosomal RNA is filed under the name uncultured bacterium. RNAcentral describes it as "partial 16S ribosomal RNA". It matches the Rfam family "Bacterial small subunit ribosomal RNA", at positions 524 to 776 of the family's 1533-position model. The record is from RNAcentral.
UACGGAGGGUGCAAGCGUAGUUCGGAAUCACUGGGCGUAAAGGGCGCGUAGGCGGACCUGUGGGUCUGAUGUGAAAGCCCGGGGCUCAACCCCGGAAGUGCAUUGGAAACUACAGGUCUUGAGUUUGGGAGAGGAGAGCAGAAUUCCCGGUGUAGGGGUGGAAUCCGUAGAUAUCGGGAGGAAAACCAGUGGCGAAGGCGGCUCUCUGGAACAUAACUGACGCUAAGGCGCGAAAGCGUGGGGAGCAAACAGG